Molecule: small RNA, 27 nt
Filed under: Bombyx mori (domestic silkworm)
Lineage: Eukaryota; Metazoa; Arthropoda; Insecta; Lepidoptera; Bombycidae
Description: ovarian small RNA-32995
Source: RNAcentral
UGAUUACGACACUAAAAGUCGGUAGAU